This 402-nucleotide ribosomal RNA is filed under the name uncultured bacterium. Its description in RNAcentral is "bacterial SSU rRNA". It matches the Rfam family "Bacterial small subunit ribosomal RNA", at positions 355 to 748 of the family's 1533-position model. The record is from RNAcentral.
UCGAGAAUCUUUCGCAAUGCCCGAAAGGGUGACGAAGCGACGCCGCGUGUGGGAAGAAGGCCUUCGGGUUGUAAACCACUGUCGGGAGUUAGGAAAUGCAGGUGCGUUAAUAGCGCACUUGCUUGACUAAGGCUCCAGAGGAAGCCACGGCUAACUCUGUGCCAGCAGCCGCGGUAAUACAGAGGCGGCAAGCGUUGUUCGGAAUUAUUGGGCGUAAAGAGCACGUAGGCGGCCUUGCAAGUCAGUUGUGAAAGCCUUCCGCUUAACGGAAGAACGGCAUCUGAUACUACAGGGCUUGAGUACGGGAGGGGAGAGUGGAACUUCUGGUGGAGCGGUGAAAUGCGUAGAUAUCAGAAGGAACGCCGGCGGCGAAAGCGACUCUCUGGUCCGAAACUGACGCUG